CCUACGGGUGACAGCAGUGAGGAAUAUUGGUCAAUGGACGAGAGUCUGAACCAGCCAAGUAGCGUGAAGGAUGACUGCCCUAUGGGUUGUAAACUUCUUUUAUAUGGGAAUAAAAUGUUCCACGUGUGGGAUUUUGUAUGUACCAUAUGAAUAAGGAUCGGCUAACUCCGUGCCAGCAGCCGCGGUAAUACGGAGGAUCCGAGCGUUAUCCGGAUUUAUUGGGUUUAAAGGGAGCGUAGGUGGAUUGUUAAGUCAGUUGUGAAAGUUUGCGGCUCAACCGUAAAAUUGCAGUUGAAACUGGCAGUCUUGAGUACAGUAGAGGUGGGCGGAAUUCGUGGUGUAGCGGUGAAAUGCUUAGAUAUAACGAAGAACUCCGAUGGCGAAGGCAGUUCACUGGACUGCAACUGACACUGAGGCUCGAAAGUGUGGGUAUCAAACAGGAUUAGAUACCCGAGUAGUC
Molecule: ribosomal RNA, 460 nt
Filed under: uncultured bacterium
Lineage: Bacteria
Description: partial 16S ribosomal RNA
Rfam family: Bacterial small subunit ribosomal RNA
Source: RNAcentral